Ictalurus punctatus (channel catfish) is the source of this 1528-nucleotide long non-coding RNA. The record is from Ensembl. Lineage: Eukaryota; Metazoa; Chordata; Actinopteri; Siluriformes; Ictaluridae.
UGGAGCUGCCUGAAAGUUUCAGCUUGUUAUGACUAAUUGCAAACGCGCUCUCUCGUGGCUCCACCCACCACGCACGUUCGAACCAAUCAUAUUAUCCUCCCUGGGGUCCGUGUGCGUGUCUAACCGCGUCUGUCUGUUAAAGGUAGCAGGUUGUACAUGGCGAGCGGGUUACUCACUGAGGGUUGGUGAUUUGUGUAAUGGAAGCCGUCUCUGAACCGCAUUUAAUGACGGAGAACUACAGAGGUGGAGAGAAAACGCAGCACUGAGCAACUUGUAGACUUCACACCCGACUGUAGUGCCCAACGCCCGUGGUGGUGGCAGUGCAUGGCGUGUGUGUGGAAGCAGGAGUGGAUCUAAUCACAGCCUGUGAUAUUCGUCUGUGCACACAGGAUGCCUGGUUUCAGGUGAAGUCGUGUGUUCCCUGAUAGUCCAUGAUUGCUGGAGCUCUGGAAAUAGCAGGUGAGAUUGCAGGCCGGAGUCGCGUCACUGUCCAAGGAACCAAAAUCAACCUCCUCUGCUCCUGAGACCACAGUGUAACUGAGAGCCUAGACUACAUGGCUACUUGGAACAUGAACAUGUUGCAGACACAGGAUCUUAUGAAGUCAGCGCAGGCAGCCCUGGAAAAGAAGAGUCCGAAAGACGUGCCCUUCUCCAAGCUUUAAAGGAGAAGAUCCAGGGCUGUUGAAGCUGCGGUGGAACUGAGACAUCAUCAUCCACAUAUCUUUAGUUCUUCUUGCUAAGAGAACGAGAAACUCGGACACAACAGUACAUCCUGACCAUUGGUACUGUGUACACAUCAACAUACACACACGUCUCCAUGCUGGACAUCUCAGGAGCUUUCACACAGUGCUAGGAAUAUCCCGGGACAGAGAAACGCACCUUCUAAGUGAGCGAGUUUAGCGUCAACCGGUGAAAUUUGCUGUAGCGUGAACACUUCGCCUCUGUGAGCUUCACUCUCCGUAGGGUUCACUGUAAUUAGACAUAAAAUGUACAUAGUUUAUUUUUCAUGCAUUUAGGAUUUAAUGUUUAUUUUUUUUUUACUCUUCGAGGAACAGAAAUGAUCUUUCGAGGCAGCUUCUUCAUCACUACCUGCUCCGUUUGACUCAAAAAUGUAACGACCGGUUUCAAAAAGUCACGAUGUCUUCAGUUCAUGAGAUUUUACUGUUGAAUUUAAACAGGAAAUGUGAAAUAUUUUUCCCUUUGUUUCCUCUACUGUCUUUUUGCUGUGAUCUUGAACACAGUUGUAAUUUUUUUUAAAAAUAAUAAAAAAAAUGAUAAUUCUAGUUCUCUCACUUUCCUUGUCCUAAUUGUCCUGUAUCUGUUAAAUCCGUUUCAUCUCUGGUCUUUCUGUCUGUAUGAACACUUGUAGAAAUGACUUCUAGUCCAUAUUUUUAAAUGAUUCGUGAUUUUGAAUUUAAAUAAAGAUAUUCUUUAAUUCUGUAUUUUGUCAUUUAAUUAUCAUUAGAAAUCAGAAGAUCAGAUUAAAGCCACGGCUUCUUUACCUGCCGAAGCUGAUCAGCUGGAUAAA